This is a long non-coding RNA of Olea europaea var. sylvestris, 649 nucleotides long. RefSeq lists it as uncharacterized. The record is from RefSeq and is a predicted model, not a curated record. The transcript has 4 exons. Lineage: Eukaryota; Viridiplantae; Streptophyta; Magnoliopsida; Lamiales; Oleaceae.
CUGCAUUUUUUGGUCUUCUUCAGUUUUCACUCCACCAAUUAGGCAAAUACACACACACAAACACACCCCGAGGGUUUUGCAUUCUGUAAAUUCUACCAAUUAUGGUGAAUUCGCAGCAAGCAUCGGGUCGGCCAUGGAUUCUGGAAAUCGUACCUUUGGCGGUCGUUAUUCUUAUUGUUGCCCACGUCCUUGCUUUGGUUUACUGGAUUUACAAGCUAGCAACCGAGAAGCAGCCUUCGAGAAGGAAAACGCACUAACCUAGUUCAUCAGUUUUUAGUAAUAAAAGACUCACUGUUUGAAGGAGGAAACGCGUCUGAGUCCGUGAUUGGUGUUGGAAGUGGGGUCGUCUCGUGGAGCUUCAAAAACAAGGAAACAAACAAAUUUUAUUGUAAGAAAUGCAUGUGAUGAAGUCAAAGUCUACGAAAUUGGCACGACUGACGAUCUUAAAAGAAGCUUCUGAAAUCACAUCUCCAAUGCAAGACGAUGGGGAGGAAAAUAGCUGCAAACAAACAUGUUGGUGUAGGCGCCCUCCAUUAAGUUAAAAUGGGUUCAUUUUUAAUACACUCGUUGACUCUCUCUCUCUCUCUCUCUCACACACACAUACACACACACUAAUUGAUUGUCGCAUAUAUUAAAUUCUACAAGAAAA